CCUAAUUCUUUCCUUAUGUAUAUUGCUCCCUGCCCAUCUAUAUUUUGGAUGCUUGAAAUUUGAAGCAAAGGCUUUUAGGGUUUGGUUUUUCACAUCUUGAUUUACAUGUAGUAGACUCAGCACAGGUCCAGAGUGAAUGUAUCAGCUCUAAUAGGCUGUUUGAUUUCUGGUUCUAAAAGAUCGUGACUGUCUGAACUAAGUUAACAUUACAUGGAAGUCCUUUGACUUAAGGCCUUAAAUAUGUUCUGUUA
RNAcentral lists this long non-coding RNA (251 nucleotides) under Bos taurus (domestic cattle). RNAcentral describes it as "long non-coding RNA NONBTAT010679". The record is from RNAcentral. Lineage: Eukaryota; Metazoa; Chordata; Mammalia; Artiodactyla; Bovidae.